AUGGCCCUCUUCCAAGAAUUCUAUCGGGGCACUUGUGACCUUCGCCGCCUAAACUAUGGGGUCAUUACUCUCAUCCCCAAGGUUCCCGGCGCGACGGAGAUUCGCCUAUUCCACCUGAUUAUAGUGAUCAAUGUGAUCUUCUGCAUCAUGGAUAAGGGGUAUGCCAAUAGGAUGACCCCUUUAGCCAACCACAUCACCCACCCGGACCAGUCGGCCUUCAUUCAGGGUCGGUGCAUCCUUGAUGGAGUCCUCAUUUUUCACGAGGUGCUCCACGAGGUCCGCACUAAGCACCUGAAGGCCGUAUUCCUAAAGAUAGACUUCCAUAAGGCAUAUGACAUCGUCAGUUGGCCUUUCCUCCAGGAAGUAUUGGUUAGGAAAGGCUUCGACGACCGCUCGGUCACGCGAGUCAUGCAGCUGGUGUCCUCGGACCAAACUGCCAUUAACAUCAAUGGCGAGAUUGGCCCAUAUUUCCCCACCUUAUGUGGGGUUAGGUAG
Molecule: ribosomal RNA, 495 nt
Filed under: Triticum aestivum (bread wheat)
Lineage: Eukaryota; Viridiplantae; Streptophyta; Magnoliopsida; Poales; Poaceae
Description: partial small subunit ribosomal RNA
Source: RNAcentral